This 250-nucleotide ribosomal RNA is filed under the name uncultured bacterium. RNAcentral's name for it is "partial 16S ribosomal RNA". It matches the Rfam family "Bacterial small subunit ribosomal RNA", at positions 524 to 773 of the family's 1533-position model. The record is from RNAcentral.
UACGUAGGGUGCAAGCGUUAAUCGGAAUUACUGGGCGUAAAGCGUGCGCAGGCGGUUCGCUAAGACAGAUGUGAAAUCCCCGGGCUUAACCUGGGAACUGCAUUUGUGACUGGCGGGCUAGAGUAUGGCAGAGGGGGGUAGAAUUCCACGUGUAGCAGUGAAAUGCGUAGAGAUGUGGAGGAAUACCGAUGGCGAAGGCAGCCCCCUGGGCCAAUACUGACGCUCAUGCACGAAAGCGUGGGGAGCAAAC